Molecule: ribosomal RNA, 435 nt
Filed under: uncultured bacterium
Lineage: Bacteria
Description: partial 16S ribosomal RNA
Rfam family: Bacterial small subunit ribosomal RNA
Source: RNAcentral
AACGAACGCUGGCGGCAGGCCUAACACAUGCAAGUCGAGCGGACAUCUUCGGAUGUUAGCGGCGGACGGGGGAGUAACGCGUGGGAACGUGCCCUUUGCUUCGGAAUAGCCUCGGGAAACUGGGAGUAAUACCGGAUGUACCCUUUGGGGGAAAGAUUUAUCGGCAAAGGAUCGGCCCGCGUUGGAUUAGGUAGUUGGUGGGGUAAUGGCCUACCAAGCCGACGAUCCAUAGCUGGUUUGAGAGGAUGAUCAGCCACACUGGGACUGAGACACGGCCCAGACUCCUACGGGAGGCAGCAGUGGGGAAUCUUAGACAAUGGGGGAAACCCUGAUCUAGCCAUGCCGCGUGAGCGAUGAAGGCCUUAGGGUUGUAAAGCUCUUUCACCGGGGAAGAUAAUGACGGUACCCGGAGAAGAAGCCCCGGCUAACUCCGUG